This 384-nucleotide ribosomal RNA is filed under the name Cylindrospermum sp. CG17. Its description in RNAcentral is "bacterial SSU rRNA". It matches the Rfam family "Bacterial small subunit ribosomal RNA", at positions 491 to 859 of the family's 1533-position model. Lineage: Bacteria; Bacillati; Cyanobacteriota; Cyanophyceae; Nostocales; Nostocaceae. The record is from RNAcentral.
AUUCGGCUAACUUCGAUGCCAGCCAAGCCGGCGGUAAUACGGAGAGAUGCCAGCGUUUUCCGGGAAUGAUUUGGGCGUAAAAGCACGUCCGCCAGGUGGCCUUGUAAGUCUGCUGUGAAGCAGAGCGAGGCUCAACUUUGUAAAGGGCAGUGGAAACUACAGGGCUAGAGUGCGUUCGGGGACAGAGGGAAUUCCUGGUGUAGCGGUGAAAUGCGUAGAGAUCAGGAAGAACACCACGGUGGCGAAGGCGCUCUGCUAGGCCGUAACUGACACUGAGGGACGAAAGCUAGGGGAGCGAAUGGGAUUAGAUACCCCAGUAGUCCCUAGCUGUAAACGAUGGAUACUAGGCUUGGUAUCGACCCGAGCCGUGCCGUAGCUAACGCG